GUUAGUGGCGAACGGGUGAGUAACACGUGGGCAAUCUGCCCUUCACUCUGGGACAAGCCCUGGAAACGGGGUCUAAUACCGGAUAACACUCCUCCCUGCAUGGGGAGGGGUUAAAAGCUCCGGCGGUGAAGGAUGAGCCCGCGGCCUAUCAGCUUGUUGGUGGGGUAAUGGCCUACCAAGGCGACGACGGGUAGCCGGCCUGAGAGGGCGACCGGCCACACUGGGACUGAGACACGGCCCAGACUCCUACGGGAGGCAGCAGUGGGGAAUAUUGCACAAUGGGCGAAAGCCUGAUGCAGCGACGCCGCGUGAGGGAUGACGGCCUUCGGGUUGUAAACCUCUUUCAGCAGGGAAGAAGCGAAAGUGACGGUACCUGCAGAAGAAGCGCCGGCUAACUACGUGCCAGCAGCCGCGGUAAUACGUAGGGCGCAAGCGUUGUCCGGAAUUAUUGGGCGUAAAGAGCUCGUAGGCGGCUUGUCACGUCGGAUGUGAAAGCCCGGGGCUUAACCCCGGGUCUGCAUUCGAUACGGGCAGGCUAGAGUGUGGUAGGGGAGAUCGGAAUUCCUGGUGUAGCGGUGAAAUGCGCAGAUAUCAGGAGGAACACCGGUGGCGAAGGCGGAUCUCUGGGCCAUUACUGACGCUGAGGAGCGAAAGCGUGGGGAGCGAACAGGAUUAGAUACCCUGGUAGUCCACGCCGUAAACGUUGGGAACUAGGUGUUGGCGACAUUCCACGUCGUCGGUGCCGCAGCUAACGCAUUAAGUUCCCCGCCUGGGGAGUACGGCCGCAAGGCUAAACUCAAGGAAUUGACGGG
This 812-nucleotide ribosomal RNA is filed under the name Streptomyces sp. RNAcentral describes it as "bacterial SSU rRNA". It matches the Rfam family "Bacterial small subunit ribosomal RNA", at positions 91 to 917 of the family's 1533-position model. The record is from RNAcentral. Lineage: Bacteria; Bacillati; Actinomycetota; Actinomycetes; Kitasatosporales; Streptomycetaceae.